Molecule: transfer RNA, 73 nt
Filed under: Pteropus alecto (black flying fox)
Lineage: Eukaryota; Metazoa; Chordata; Mammalia; Chiroptera; Pteropodidae
Rfam family: tRNA
About the family: Transfer RNA (tRNA) molecules are approximately 80 nucleotides in length. Their secondary structure includes four short double-helical elements and three loops (D, anti-codon, and T loops).
Source: Rfam by way of RNAcentral
GGCUCUAUAGUGUAGUGGUUAGAACGUCUGCUUUACAUGCAGAAAGUCCUCGGUUCACACCCGAGUGGAGCCA